This 522-nucleotide ribosomal RNA is filed under the name uncultured Glomeraceae. RNAcentral describes it as "SSU rRNA". It matches the Rfam family "Eukaryotic small subunit ribosomal RNA", at positions 569 to 1092 of the family's 1831-position model. The record is from RNAcentral. Lineage: Eukaryota; Fungi; Glomeromycota; Glomeromycetes; Glomerales; Glomeraceae.
AGCAGCCGCGGUAAUUCCAGCUCCAAUAGCGUAUAUUAAAGUUGUUGCAGUUAAAAAGCUCGUAGUUGAAUUUCGGGGUUAGUAGGUUGGUCAUGCCUCUGGUAUGUACUGGUCUCACUGAUUCCUCCUUCCUGAUGAACCUUAAUGCCAUUAAUUUGGUGUUUUGGGGAAUUUGGACUGUUACUUUGAAAAAAUUAGAGUGUUUAAAGCAAGCUAACGCUUGAAUACAUUAGCAUGGAAUAAUGAAAUAGGACGUUCGAUCCUAUUUUGUUGGUUUCUAGGAUUGACGUAAUGAUUAAUAGGGAUAGUUGGGGGCAUUAGUAUUCAAUUGUCAGAGGUGAAAUUCUUGGAUUUAUUGAAGACUAACUACUGCGAAAGCAUUUGCCAAGGAUGUUUUCAUUAAUCAAGAACGAAAGUUAGGGGAUCGAAGACGAUCAGAUACCGUCGUAGUCUUAACCAUAAACUAUGCCGACUAGGGAUCGGAUGAUGUUAAUUUUUUAAUGACUCAUUUGGCGCCUUACG